RNAcentral lists this ribosomal RNA (253 nucleotides) under uncultured bacterium. Its description in RNAcentral is "partial 16S ribosomal RNA". It matches the Rfam family "Bacterial small subunit ribosomal RNA", at positions 524 to 776 of the family's 1533-position model. The record is from RNAcentral.
UACAGAGGGGGCAAGCGUUAUUCGGAAUUAUUGGGCGUAAAGGGCGCGUAGGCGGCUUGGCAAGUGGAUGGUGAAAUCCCUCGGCUUAACCGAGGAACUGCCGUCCAAACUGCUUUGCUUGAGGCCGGGAGAGGUGAGUGGAAUUCCCAGUGUAGCGGUGAAAUGCGUAGAUAUUGGGAGGAACACCAGUGGCGAAGGCGGCUCACUGGACCGGUACUGACGCUGAUGCGCGAAAGCGUGGGGAGCAAACGGG